This 498-nucleotide ribosomal RNA is filed under the name uncultured bacterium. Its description in RNAcentral is "partial 16S ribosomal RNA". It matches the Rfam family "Bacterial small subunit ribosomal RNA", at positions 30 to 523 of the family's 1533-position model. The record is from RNAcentral.
AUUGAACGCUGGCGGCAUGCUUUACACAUGCAAGUCGAACGGUAACAGGCCGCAAGGUGCUGACGAGUGGCGAACGGGUGAGUAAUGCAUCGGAACGUGCCCAGUCGUGGGGGAUAACUAUCCGAAAGGAUAGCUAAUACCGCAUACGAUCUGCGGAUGAAAGCGGGGGACCUUCGGGCCUCGCGCGAUUGGAGCGGCCGAUGUCAGAUUAGGUAGUUGGUGGGGUAAAGGCUCACCAAGCCAACGAUCUGUAGCUGGUCUGAGAGGACGACCAGCCACACUGGGACUGAGACACGGCCCAGACUCCUACGGGAGUCAGCAGUGGGGAAUGUUGGACAAUGGGCGCAAGCCUGAUCCAGCAAUGCCGCGUGCAGGAAGAAGGCCUUCGGGUUGUAAACUGCUUUUGUACGGAACGAAACGGCUCUGGUUAAUACCUGGGGCUAAUGACGGUACCGUAAGAAUAAGCACCGGCUAACUACGUGCCAGCAGCCGCGGUAA